Molecule: long non-coding RNA, 617 nt
Filed under: Homo sapiens (human)
Lineage: Eukaryota; Metazoa; Chordata; Mammalia; Primates; Hominidae
Description: HSALNT0336069
Source: RNAcentral
UUCAGUUUCAACUUAACAGAAAAACCUUUAGGUAGAGAUAAAAUAGAAACCAGCACCUCCAUUUGAUCUUUCCCUGCCUGGUCUGUUUGAAGAGCGGCUGUGUUUGGACAAUGACGGAGUGUCGCUCUGUUGCCCAGGCUGGAGUGCAGUGGCGUGAUCUCGGCUCACUGCAAGCUCUGACUCCCGGGUUCACGCCAUUCUCCUGCUUCAGCCUCCCAAGUAGCUAGGACUACUGGUGCCCACGACCACGCCUGGCUAAUUUUUUUGUGUUUUUAGUAGAGACGGGGUUUCACCGUGUUAGCCAGGAUGUUCUCGGUCUCCUGACCUUGCAAGCCGCCCGCCUUGGUCUCCCAAAGUGCUGGGAUUACAGGCGUGAGCCACCACGCCCGGCCCCACAUGGCAUAUUUCUGAUGUGGUGUUUCCUAGCACCCAGGAGUCCAGCAGUUUAGUUUAUAUCAUUAAACUUAAAUGGAUUUAAGUUACUGGUCAAUUGAACAGCAUUCUGGUGUUCACCAUUUUAGAACUACUAAUGGUAUCACAGACUGCCCUCUAAGGGGGGUAGGGGAAGAAGAAAAGAAGUUUUCAACUGAGUUUAUAGGCAAGGAAUAGAAAAGCCC